This 259-nucleotide unclassified non-coding RNA is filed under the name Hevea brasiliensis (rubber tree). Lineage: Eukaryota; Viridiplantae; Streptophyta; Magnoliopsida; Malpighiales; Euphorbiaceae. The record is from RNAcentral.
AUCAGAGCCGCCGGCCAUCGAACCCCACAACUCUCUCCCUCUUUCUGUCUCUCUCAACAGCUAGUAGUCCAAUAAUCUCUGGUUGAUUGCGGGUUGUCGGAAGGAGGAUUUAGAAUCGAAAGGAUUGUGUAAAAGAGAGCAAGGGAAACAAAAUUGGGCAGGAGCAGCUAGGGUUUUCAGAGAAAGGCGGCGAACACGAUGACCGUCGCAAUCGAAGAUGUAGUCUAAAUGGCGACUUACAGCACCUGUCUCAAUUUUG